This 253-nucleotide ribosomal RNA is filed under the name uncultured bacterium. RNAcentral describes it as "partial 16S ribosomal RNA". It matches the Rfam family "Bacterial small subunit ribosomal RNA", at positions 524 to 776 of the family's 1533-position model. The record is from RNAcentral.
UACGAAGGGGGCUAGCGUUGUUCGGAAUUACUGGGCGUAAAGCGCACGUAGGCGGAUCGAUCAGUCAGGGGUGAAAUCCCAGGGCUCAACCCUGGAACUGCCUUUGAUACUGUCGAUCUGGAGUAUGGAAGAGGUGAGUGGAAUUCCGAGUGUAGAGGUGAAAUUCGUAGAUAUUCGGAGGAAUACCGGUGGCGAAGGCGGCAUCCUGGACCAUAACUGACGCUGAGGCGCGAAAGCUAGGGGAGCAAACGGG